RNAcentral lists this ribosomal RNA (253 nucleotides) under uncultured bacterium. RNAcentral's name for it is "partial 16S ribosomal RNA". It matches the Rfam family "Bacterial small subunit ribosomal RNA", at positions 524 to 776 of the family's 1533-position model. The record is from RNAcentral.
UACAGAGGUGGCAAGCGUUGUUCGGAAUUACUGGGCGUAAAGGGCUUGUAGGUGGCCAACUAAGUCAGACGUGAAAUCCCUCAGCUUAACUGGGGAACUGCGUCUGAUACUGGAUGGCUUGAGUUUGGGAGAGGGAUGCGGAAUUCCAGGUGUAGCGGUGAAAUGCGUAGAUAUCUGGAGGAACACCGGUGGCGAAGGCGGCAUCCUGGACCAACACUGACACUGAGGAGCGAAAGCCAGGGGAGCAAACGGG